GAAAUAUUAAAAAAGUUAUUAUUCUUGCUUUUCAGCCUUUCAUACUCUUUUAGUUUAUCUUAUAUUCACCAUUAUGUAUGCAACACCUGUUUGAAAUAUAGGUUGGAUUAAUGCUGUUUUUUUGGCUGAGCAAAUCUUAAAUAGAUUAGCCAAAGCAAUUCAUACCUCUGGCAAAGUUCAACGAGUUGCUUCAAGUAUUGUGAACAGAGCGAAAAUGUAGGCAAGAAAUUACAGGUUGUCUCCCUUGUCAAAUCAUCCAGCUGUCUAUGACUCCUCCAUGCUAAAUCGUCAAAAAAUGCAUUUCAUCAGAAAAUAGAACAAAUUCAAAGCAUUCAAUAAAACUCCAUUUGUAAAUAAAUGUUUUAAAACC
This is a long non-coding RNA of Octopus sinensis (East Asian common octopus), 370 nucleotides long. RefSeq lists it as uncharacterized. The transcript is spliced from 2 exons. The record is from RefSeq and is a predicted model, not a curated record. NCBI's taxonomy places the organism in Eukaryota, Metazoa, Mollusca, Cephalopoda, Octopoda, Octopodidae.